Molecule: ribosomal RNA, 463 nt
Filed under: uncultured bacterium
Lineage: Bacteria
Description: SSU rRNA
Rfam family: Bacterial small subunit ribosomal RNA
Source: RNAcentral
AGCCUGAACGCUGGCGGCGUGGCUAAGACAUGCAAGUCGUACGGGGUCCGCAAGGAUCCAGUGGCGAACGGGUGAGUAAUGUAUCGCUAACGUACCCCUGUGUCCGGGAUAGCUGGGGGAAACUCCAGGUAAUACCGGGUGACAUCACUUUCUCGCAUGAGAAGGUGCUCAAAGGGAAACCGCAAAGGGAGCGGGCGAUAUCGUAUCAGCUAGUUGGUGAGGUAACGGCUCACCAAGGCUAUGACGCGUAGCCGGACUGAGAGGUCGGACGGCCACAUUGGGACUGAGACACUGCCCAGACUCCUACGGGGGGCUGCAGUAACGAAUCUUCCGCAAUGCACGCAAGUGUGACGGAGCGACGCCGCGUGUGGGACGAAGUCCUUCGGGAUGUAAACCACUGUCAGGGUUACCAAGUUCUGAGGACCCCAGAGGAAGGCACGGCUAACUCUGCGCCAGCAGCCGC